This 253-nucleotide ribosomal RNA is filed under the name uncultured bacterium. RNAcentral describes it as "partial 16S ribosomal RNA". It matches the Rfam family "Bacterial small subunit ribosomal RNA", at positions 524 to 776 of the family's 1533-position model. The record is from RNAcentral.
UACGUAGGGCGCGAGCGUUGUCCGGAAUUAUUGGGCGUAAAGAGCUCGUAGGCGGCCGGUUGCGUCUGCUGUGAAAUCCCGGGGCUUAACCCCGGGCGUGCAGUGGAUACGGGCCGGCUGGAGGCAGGCAGGGGAGAAUGGAAUUCCAGGUGUAGCGGUGAAAUGCGUAGAUAUCUGGAGGAACACCGGUGGCGAAGGCGGCAUCCUGGACCAAUUCUGACGCUGAGGAGCGAAAGCCAGGGGAGCAAACGGG